Molecule: ribosomal RNA, 492 nt
Filed under: uncultured bacterium
Lineage: Bacteria
Description: partial 16S ribosomal RNA
Rfam family: Bacterial small subunit ribosomal RNA
Source: RNAcentral
AGUGAACGCUGGCGGUAGGCCUAACACAUGCAAGUCGAACGGCAGCACAGUAAGAGCUUGCUCUUUCGGGAGGCGAGUGGCGGACGGGUGAGGAAUACAUCGGAAUCUACUUUUUCGUGGGGGAUCACGUAGGGAAACUUACUCUAAUACCGCAUACGACCUACGGGUGAAAGCAGGGGCUCUUCGGACCUUGCGCGAUUGAAUGAGCCGAUGUGGGAUUAGCUAGUUGGCGGGGUAAAGGCCCACCAAGGCGACGAUCCGUAGCUGGUCUGAGAGGAUGAUCAGCCACACUGGAACUGAGACACGGUCCAGACUCCUACGGGAGGCAGCAGUGGGGAAUAUUGGACAAUGGGCGCAAGCCUGAUCCAGCCAUGCCGCGUGGGUGAAGAAGGCCUUCGGGUUGUAAAGCCCUUUUGUUGGGAAAGAAAAGCAGCAGGUUAAUACCCCGCUGUUCUGACGGUACCCAAAGAAUAAGCACCGGCUAACUUCGUG